GGGGUGGACCUGGAGCGAAUCUCAGAAAUAACGUCUCAGUUCGGAUUGUAGUCUGCAACUCGACUACAUGAAGCUGGAAUCGCUAGUAAUCGCGGAUCAGAAUGCCGCGGUGAAUACGUUCCCGGGUCUUGUACACACCGCCCGUCACACCAUGGGAGUCGGGAAUGCCCGAAGCCAGUGACCCAAGCGAGAGCAGGGAGCUGUCGAAGGCAGGCCGGAUAACUGGGGUGAAGUCGUAACAAGGUACC
Molecule: ribosomal RNA, 248 nt
Filed under: uncultured bacterium
Lineage: Bacteria
Description: partial 16S ribosomal RNA
Rfam family: Bacterial small subunit ribosomal RNA
Source: RNAcentral